AACUUACAUUUCUUUCUGUUCCUCACACAAAACUAUCGCAAUACCGCGUCAAGUCGUCUGGGCAACUUUUUGAAGAAAGAAUGUCAUACAGGGUUGAAACAACGUGGUCAACAAACCUCCACAAGAUGGCGGUGAUUCCCAACUGUUCACUUCAGGAAGACAAAGAGAAGGUCCUCUCUUUCUACU
Sinocyclocheilus rhinocerous is the source of this 186-nucleotide long non-coding RNA. RefSeq lists it as uncharacterized. Lineage: Eukaryota; Metazoa; Chordata; Actinopteri; Cypriniformes; Cyprinidae. The record is from RefSeq and is a predicted model, not a curated record. The transcript is spliced from 3 exons.